This 396-nucleotide long non-coding RNA is filed under the name Mus pahari (shrew mouse). RNAcentral describes it as "predicted gene 14211 (MGP_PahariEiJ_G0005553.1)". The record is from RNAcentral. Lineage: Eukaryota; Metazoa; Chordata; Mammalia; Rodentia; Muridae.
CUGAAGGAAGGCUGUGUACAGCUGUAUCAGGCAGGUCUAUUUCAAAGCCAAGCAGAGUACAAAACAAUUGAACUCAGCAUCUCUCUAAAGACAACAUGCACAAGACCCAACACUGCAUCCUAACAUGAUUUAAAAGAAAGGAGGGGACUUCCCAGCGAGAGAGCAGAUGGGAAACCUUAUCAGUGUACUCACUGAUAGGAAGCGAUCAGCAGAAUACACAGUAACUUCUGUUCUUGCAAGAAUCCGUAGCUGUAAAGGAAGUCAGCAAACCAGGUCUCACGGUUAUGAUCCUGGCUUCCUUCUGGGAGGGGAUAUGCCAAGCCAAAAAGAUCUGUAGCCCAGAUUUCGUCUGGAGCUAACUGCAGCCACGUGACACAGCCCUGACCAGUGUGCUGC